CAUUCACUUCCAUUUUUUCUUCUCGACCUAUAAUUUAAUUUCCUCUACAUUAGUCCCUGAGUGACGCUUGUCUAGGCCCAUUUGGCGAGCAUGGACAUGAGGCCGGCGCCGGCGAGCAUGGCGAGGUUGAUGCCGAGCUGGAGCUUGCCUUUGCUCUGCACCCUGGGGUUCAUGAAGUCCUCGGCGAGGAGGUCGACGAGGGCCAUGUAGAUGAGGAUCCCCGCCGCGACGGAGUUGAGGAUGCCCUCCACCACCAGCGCCGUCGGGCUGCUCUCGUUGUACACCGACGAGAUGCCCACGCCGACGGCGAUCCCCACCGGCGUCGUCAGGCAGAAGAAGAGGACCAUCGUCACGAUCGACCUCACCUUGAACUUCGCCUGCAUACAUUUUCAGGAGAAUUAAAUUAACUCAUGCUGUGUUAUUAAAUACAUUUUUCAGGAGUAGUAUGCAAAAGGUUGAUAUUGCCGGAACUAGGCAACUUGUAAAUUAAGCCAUUCCAUUUGUAUACUUCUUCGGGCCGUUCU
RNAcentral lists this small RNA (524 nucleotides) under Oryza sativa Japonica Group (Japanese rice). RNAcentral describes it as "sRNA Os07g0232850". Lineage: Eukaryota; Viridiplantae; Streptophyta; Magnoliopsida; Poales; Poaceae. The record is from RNAcentral.